Molecule: small RNA, 3119 nt
Filed under: Pongo abelii (Sumatran orangutan)
Lineage: Eukaryota; Metazoa; Chordata; Mammalia; Primates; Hominidae
Description: retained intron
Source: RNAcentral
UUCCCCGCCCGCGUCUCCUCGCUGUCGCCGCCGCUGCCACACCAUGGCCUUCGUCACCAGGCAGUUCAUGCGUUCCGUGUCCUCCUCGUCCACCGCCUCGGCCUCGGCCAAGAAGAUAAUCGUCAAGCACGUGACGGUCAUCGGCGGCGGGCUGAUGGGCGCCGGCAUUGCCCAGGUUGCUGCAGCAACUGGUCACACAGUAGUGUUGGUAGACCAGACAGAGGACAUCCUGGCAAAAUCCAAAAAGGGAAUUGAGGAAAGCCUUAGGAAAGUGGCAAAGAAGAAGUUUGCAGAAAACCCUAAGGCUGGCGAUGAAUUUGUGGAGAAGACCCUGAGCAGCAUAACGACCAGCACGGAUGCAGCCUCCGUUGUCCACAGCGCAGACUUGGUGGUGGAAGCCAUCGUGGAGAAUCUGAAGGUGAAAAACGAGCUCUUCAAAAGGCUGGACAAGUUUGCUGCUGAACAUACAAUCUUUGCCAGCAACACUUCCUCCUUGCAGAUUACAAGCAUAGCCAAUGCCACCACCAGACAAGACCGAUUCGCUGGCCUCCAUUUCUUCAACCCAGUGCCCGUCAUGAAACUUGUGGAGGUCAUUAAAACACCAAUGACCAGCCAGAAGACAUUUGAAUCUUUGGUAGACUUUAGCAAAGCCCUAGGAAAGCAUCCUGUUUCUUGCAAGGUAAGAGUAUGGGUAGCUGGGAAGGAGGUAGUUCUUUUCUUCUUGGACCCUGACUUGUUCCUGGUAGAAUUCUUCUCAUAGAAUGAUGUGAAAGAAGGAGCAUUGUAUACUGCAAGCUUGUCCACGUGCUGUAAAGAGCAAUCCGUGCCUCCUGUUCUAGUUUGCAGACAGGGAAACUGGACUCCUAAGCCAUGCCUAAGGCCAUCAGGUGGAUAGUCUGAGACCUGAAUGGAGCUCAGGACACCAGCUGAGUAGAAGACACGGGACUGCUCUCUGUCCUGGCUUUUGUCUCCUGAUGAGUGGCUGCAUUUUCGUAAAUGGUUUUGGUUGCCCAAUCAGCUGUAACUUCCACUGGGCCACUGGGAGUCAGAACCCUGUGUGUCAGGAAGAGCUUGGUAAACACAUACAUCCCUAACAGAAAAUGAGGGCUUUACUUUUGCAAGAAAUACUACAGAUGGUGAAAUAAAUGAUAAGACAGUGAGAGAGCAACCUGCCAAAGUAGCAAUAAGGAACCUGUUUCUCACUGGAAAGUUGCAUUAUGUUUUUAUUGUUUGUUGUUUUGUUUUUCAAGAAGCAGCAUGGUUUAGUGGGAAUCCUGCUUGACCUCCAUCUGUUUUUCCCCUUUCUUAAGCUGCCCAGUUAUUGUAUAUAAAAUAAUCCCAGUUCCUGAAAUGAUAACCUACCUGAAGGUAAUUAUUUUGAUUACCUUCAGUUUCUCCAUUUGCUUUAGUUCCUCUUUAGUUCCUCCAAAACUCGGGGACUAUACUUAUGCAUGACUUUGCAGUUUUUCUUAAGAGGUAGUUGUGUCACAAAAUGCUACACCAUUACAAAGAUUUACAUAUAAGUCAUCUACUUUUUUUUUUAACCGUAAUCCUUUAUAUCAUUAUAGUUCUCAUAGCAAACUUCUGCUUUCUAAAAUAUUCUCGAGUUUGAACUCACAGUACUGUACUAACCCAUGAAAAAUCAUGUUGUUCAUGAAUCAUCUGAAGAAGCCAUCUGUUGAGGUGGACUCCAGCAGCCAAAGAGAGCAGGCUUGUGUGUCCUGCUCCUUCCCGUCCAUUGGUAAAGUGUUGUUAGGUAGUCUCAUGCUUUAACACCCAUUUUUUGUUUGUUUAGUUCUGUAGUUUUAAGUCAUCUAGAUUUCUAAAAUCAAAUUAAUAAUUGGAUGGUAUGAUUGUACUUUCUUACGCAGUUAUGCUUUGUUAGUGGAAGAAAGUAGUAAUAGUAUUGAAAAGAACGUCUGUGCAAGACAAAAAGAUAUGGAAACAGAAGUACAGGGAAAAGCUAAUGAUUAUCUUCAGCAGCAUAAUAAUUAAUCUACAAAGUAAUGAUUCAGUCUUCCAUCAGAGUGGCCACGGCAACUGCAGAGAUGGGAACUCUUUGUUCUCAUUAAAUUGUUCUUGUUAGGUCAUUCCAGAACUCUCUCUGUGUGGUAUUCUAAGGGCUUUCAGAGGGUCUUUCUGGUUCAGUUAUUGAAGCUCUUGAUGAGGCAUCUGGACAAUAUAUGGCAACCACAUAGGACAAGGGUCAGCAAAUUUCUGUAAAGGACCAGAUAGUGAAUAUUUUCAGCCAUACAGUCUCUGUUGCAAGUAGUCAGUUCUAUUGUUGUAGUAUGAAAACAGCCGUAGACAGUAUAGGCAGUAUGAGUGUGGCUGUGCUCCAGUAAAACUUGACUUACAAAAACAAGCUGUGGGCUGGAUUUGGCCUACAGUAUUGUACUUUACCAAUACUUGACAUAGAAGAGGGACAUUAAUGUGCCUUCCUAGUGAGACUUCAUGAGGGGAUUGUGGUAUAAAGGUUAAGGGUAUGAACUAGCCCAACCGGGUUCAAAUCCUGGUGUCGGCACUUAUUACCUGUGUAACCUUAGGCAAGCUACUUAACCUCACUGUGCCUCAGUGUCCUCAUGCCUCACAUAGGGAUAAUUAUAGUACCUCUCUCACAGGGUUAUUAUCAGGAAUGAAUAAAUUAAUAUUUUUAAAGUAUUUAGAACAGUACCUGGCACACAGUAAGUACAGUAAAUAAAAUGUGUUUAAUAAAUAAGAAUCUGAAAAAUAUGAAUUUGAUUACAUAAAAUAAAAUUACUUUAUUUAAAGUUUGUGUCUCCUGCUAGGCACGGUGCCUCACGCCUAUAAUCCCAGCACUUUGGGAGGCCAAGGCUGGUGGAUCACUUGAGCCCAAGAGUUCGAGACCAGCCUGGGCAACAUGGCAAAAACCUUCUCUACAAAAAAAAUAGCUGGGCAUGGUGGUGUGCACCUGUGGUCCCAGCUACUUGGGAGGCUGAGGUGGGAGGGUCGCUUGAGCCCAGGAGGUGGAGGCUGCAGUGAGCUGAGAUCACGCCACUGCACUCCAGCCUGGGCAACAGAGCAAGACCCUGCCAAGAAAAAAAAAAGACUGUGUCUCUUCACGUUCCACCAAUGUACUGAUAGCAUCUGUCUCUCUG